GGACUCUGAAUCCAGCGAUCCGAGUUC
Molecule: non-coding RNA, 27 nt
Filed under: Drosophila melanogaster (fruit fly)
Lineage: Eukaryota; Metazoa; Arthropoda; Insecta; Diptera; Drosophilidae
Also listed under: 6 other names
Source: RNAcentral